Molecule: ribosomal RNA, 242 nt
Filed under: uncultured bacterium
Lineage: Bacteria
Description: partial 16S ribosomal RNA
Rfam family: Bacterial small subunit ribosomal RNA
Source: RNAcentral
ACGAGUGGCGGACGGGUGAGUAACGCGUAGGAAUCUACCUUUCGGCGGGGGAUAGCCCGGAGAAAUCCGGAUUAAUACCGCAUAAGCCCUACGGGGGAAAGCGGGGGACCACUUGUGGCCUCGCACCGAUAGAUGAGCCUGCGUUAGAUUAGCUAGUUGGUAGGGUAAAGGCCUACCAAGGCGACGAUCUAUAGCUGGUCUGAGAGGAUGAUCAGCCACACUGGAACUGAGACACGGUCCAG